Molecule: transfer RNA, 72 nt
Filed under: Camelus bactrianus (Bactrian camel)
Lineage: Eukaryota; Metazoa; Chordata; Mammalia; Artiodactyla; Camelidae
Also listed under: 2 other names
Rfam family: tRNA
About the family: Transfer RNA (tRNA) molecules are approximately 80 nucleotides in length. Their secondary structure includes four short double-helical elements and three loops (D, anti-codon, and T loops). Further hydrogen bonds mediate the characteristic L-shaped molecular structure. tRNAs have two regions of fundamental functional importance: the anti-codon, which is responsible for specific mRNA codon recognition, and the 3' end, to which the tRNAs corresponding amino acid is attached (by aminoacyl-tRNA synthetases). tRNAs cope with the degeneracy of the genetic code in two manners: having more than one tRNA (with a specific anti-codon) for a particular amino acid; and 'wobble' base-pairing, i.e. permitting non-standard base-pairing at the 3rd anti-codon position.
Source: Rfam by way of RNAcentral
GUAGAUAUAGCUCAGUGGUAGGGCAUGUGCUUAGUAUGCACAAGGUCCUGAGUUCAAUCCCCAGUACCUCCA